Molecule: ribosomal RNA, 773 nt
Filed under: uncultured bacterium
Lineage: Bacteria
Description: bacterial SSU rRNA
Rfam family: Bacterial small subunit ribosomal RNA
Source: RNAcentral
AGAGUUUGAUCCUGGUCAGGAUGAACGCUAGCUACAGGCUUAACACAUGCAAGUCGAGGGGCAUCAGAUCGAAAGCUUGCUUUUGAUGCUGGCGACCGGCGCACGGGUGAGUAACGCGUAUCCAACCUUCCCUAUAGUAGAGAAUAGCCCGGCGAAAGUCGGAUUAAUGCUCUAUGUUGUAUUUAGAAGACAUCUGAAGAAUACCAAAGGUUUACCGCUAUAGGAUGGGGAUGCGUCUGAUUAGGUAGUAGGCGGGGUAACGGCCCACCUAGCCGACGAUCAGUAGGGGUUCUGAGAGGAAGGUCCCCCACAUUGGAACUGAGACACGGUCCAAACUCCUACGGGAGGCAGCAGUGAGGAAUAUUGGUCAAUGGACGAAAGUCUGAACCAGCCAAGUAGCGUGCAGGAUGACGGCCCUAUGGGUUGUAAACUGCUUUUAUAUAGGGAUAAAGUCGGGGACGUGUCCCCGUUUGUAGGUACUAUAUGAAUAAGGACCGGCUAAUUCCGUGCCAGCAGCCGCGGUAAUACGGAAGGUCCAGGCGUUAUCCGGAUUUAUUGGGUUUAAAGGGAGCGCAGGCUGAUGAUUAAGCGUGACGUGAAAUGUAGCCGCUCAACGGCUGAACUGCGUCGCGAACUGGUUAUCUUGAGUGAGUUCGAUGUUGGCGGAAUUCGUGGUGUAGCGGUGAAAUGCUUAGAUAUCACGAAGAACUCCGAUUGCGAAGGCAGCCAACAAGGCCUUUACUGACGCUAAAGCUCGAAGGUGCGGGUAUCGA